CAAGUCGAACGAUGAACCACUUCGGUGGGGAUUAGUGGCGAACGGGUGAGUAACACGUGGGCAAUCUGCCCUGCACUCUGGGACAAGCCCUGGAAACGGGGUCUAAUACCGGAUACGACCAUCUUGGGCAUCCUUGAUGGUGGAAAGCUCCGGCGGUGCAGGAUGAGCCCGCGGCCUAUCAGCUUGUUGGUGAGGUAACGGCUCACCAAGGCGACGACGGGUAGCCGGCCUGAGAGGGCGACCGGCCACACUGGGACUGAGACACGGCCCAGACUCCUACGGGAGGCAGCAGUGGGGAAUAUUGCACAAUGGGCGCAAGCCUGAUGCAGCGACGCCGCGUGAGGGAUGACGGCCUUCGGGUUGUAAACCUCUUUCAGCAGGGAAGAAGCGCAAGUGACGGUACCUGCAGAAGAAGCGCCGGCUAACUACGUGCCAGCAGCCGCGGUAAUACGUAGGGCGCGAGCGUUGUCCGGAAUUAUUGGGCGUAAAGAGCUCGUAGGCGGCUUGUCGCGUCGGUUGUGAAAGCCCGGGGCUUAACCCCGGGUCUGCAGUCGAUACGGGCAGGCUAGAGUUCGGUAGGGGAGAUCGGAAUUCCUGGUGUAGCGGUGAAAUGCGCAGAUAUCAGGAGGAACACCGGUGGCGAAGGCGGAUCUCUGGGCCGAUACUGACGCUGAGGAGCGAAAGCGUGGGGAGCGAACAG
This 700-nucleotide ribosomal RNA is filed under the name Streptomyces sp. DRL121. Its description in RNAcentral is "bacterial SSU rRNA". It matches the Rfam family "Bacterial small subunit ribosomal RNA", at positions 58 to 775 of the family's 1533-position model. The record is from RNAcentral. Lineage: Bacteria; Bacillati; Actinomycetota; Actinomycetes; Kitasatosporales; Streptomycetaceae.